This 114-nucleotide transfer RNA is filed under the name Ixodes scapularis (black-legged tick). RNAcentral's name for it is "tRNA-Ser". It matches the Rfam family "tRNA". From Rfam's summary of the family: Transfer RNA (tRNA) molecules are approximately 80 nucleotides in length. Their secondary structure includes four short double-helical elements and three loops (D, anti-codon, and T loops). Lineage: Eukaryota; Metazoa; Arthropoda; Arachnida; Ixodida; Ixodidae. The record is from RNAcentral.
GCCGUCGUGGCCGAGUGGUUAAGGAGAUGGACUAGAAAUCUUUAAAAAAAAAGACGAUGAAAAAAAAAGGCCAUUGGGGUCCUCCCGCACAGGUUCGAAUCCUUCUCGACUGCG